Molecule: ribosomal RNA, 250 nt
Filed under: uncultured Actinomycetales bacterium
Lineage: Bacteria; Bacillati; Actinomycetota; Actinomycetes; Actinomycetales
Description: partial 16S ribosomal RNA
Rfam family: Bacterial small subunit ribosomal RNA
Source: RNAcentral
CUGGAGUACUCGAGUGGCGAACGGGUGAGUAACACGUGGGUAAUCUGCCCUGCACUCUGGGAUAAGCCUGGGAAACUGGGUCUAAUACUGGAUAUGACCUUUCUCCUUAUGGGGUUUGGUGGAAAGUUUUUCGGUGUAGGAUUAGCCCGCGGCCUAUCGGCUUGUUGGUGGGGUGAUGGCCUACCAAGGCGACGACGGGUAGCCGGCCUGAGAGGGUGAUCGGCCACAUUGGGACUGAGAUACGGCCCAG